AAGAUAUAUAAGAAAAGCAUUCAUAACCUGCUUGCAUUAUCUCCUCCCCAGUUUUUUUGUCAGCAGUCUCCAGUUCUUUCAGACGUUGUUCUGCAUUGAUUUCCAGACUAAAGUUUGCAGCUAUGCCUUCUCCUGGUUUGCAAACAACUUCUGAUUCUAUCCGAAGUCAUGAUGCAGAUCAUGGAAAGUAUGCUGAUGUGAACUGGGAUGAACUUGAAUUUGGAGUAGUUCCAACUGAUUACAUGUACACCAUGAAGUGUUCCAAAGGAGAUGAGUUUUCACAAGGCCAUCUAACUCCCUAUGGAAACAUUGAGCUCAGCCCAUCUGCUGGUGUUUUGAAUUACG
Molecule: non-coding RNA, 345 nt
Organism: Prunus avium (sweet cherry)
Lineage: Eukaryota; Viridiplantae; Streptophyta; Magnoliopsida; Rosales; Rosaceae
Source: RefSeq, a predicted model, not a curated record